This 484-nucleotide ribosomal RNA is filed under the name uncultured bacterium. Its description in RNAcentral is "partial 16S ribosomal RNA". It matches the Rfam family "Bacterial small subunit ribosomal RNA", at positions 30 to 507 of the family's 1533-position model. The record is from RNAcentral.
AUUGAACGCUGGCGGCAGGCCUAACACAUGCCAGUCGAGCGGAUGAAGGGGGCGUGCGCCUGGAUUCAGCGGCGGACGGGUGAGUAAUGCCUAGGAAUCUGCCUGGUAGUGGGGGAUAACGUCCGGAAACGGGAGCUAAUACCGCAUACGACCUGAGGGAGAAAGUGGGGGAUCUUCGGACCUCACGCUAUCAGAUGACCCUAGGUCGGAUUAGCUAGUUGGUGAGGUAAAGGCGUACCAAGGCGACGAUCCGUAGCUGACCUGAGAGGGUGAUCUGCCACACUGGAACUGAGACACGGUCCAGACUCCUACGGGAGGCAGCAGUAGGGAAUAUUCGGCAAUGGGCGAAAGCCUGACGGAGCAACGCCGCGUGAGUGAUGAAGGUCUUCGGAUCGUAAAACUCUGUUAUUAGGGAAGAACAAAUGUGUAAGAAACUGUGCACGUCUUGACGUUACCUAAACAGAAAGCCCCGGCUAACUACGUG